GAGUGUGUACAGUCGUGUCAACAAGUCAUAGCAUUAGUAACACUCGGUGUCUGGGGCUUAGAGUACUACAUUAAGGAGCUGUGAAUGAACUUGACAUACAUACAAUAUUAACAAACACGGUAGGCGGAAAAUGUUACUAUUUUUUAGUUACAAUUUUCUAUAUAAAUCCAAUAAGACGCUGCCGAUAUUAAAUAAAAAGUUUGUUCGUAAGAUUAUCUUAAAGGUAAUAAGAGUUUUAGAUGAGGCGAUGACUCACCGCGUGCUAAUUGACCCUUGCAUCACCUCAACGCGUCACAGAUCGCAGACUAUCAUUAAUUUAGAAUCAAAUCAAAUACGUCUUGUAAACGACUACGAGAGCGUGUGCGCGUGAGAGCGUCUUACCGUCUGGGAACACCGGGAUGAGGACGCGGGCGAGGCCAGUGGCACAAGCCUAUAGAUCACACUAUGUCUCCUGUGGGACAGAGCUCGUGCGAAGGUGGGCUGCGUCCUCCGAGGGUGCUCGUUGCGCGUCUCGUGGAGCGUGCGGCCGCUGUACCGGAAGCGUGACCCCAGGCGGGGGAACAGCGUGCUGCGAGACACCGGCUCCGGGCUCAGCAGCCUGCGGGAACAGGGGGUGUUGAUACAGGCAGGUAGUAACUUGGCCGACUAUGGGAUAUAUUAUUUAAACAAUCUUCUCUUGACUAUUCACAAGUACGAACUACGACCCAGCAUACAUAUUAUGUAAGUUCUUCGUAUAAAAUUUCCCAAAUUAUUGCCUCCAGCUGUACAGUCCGGUAUAGUCCGGUUACCUGAAGAAGGUGUGAUGUUCGACGCAGGUCUUCCAGAGCUUCUUGGCGGCGCGGUGGUUGGCCAGCUUGAAGCCGACCGUGGACUCGAACUGCUCGAACUCCCCCGGCCGCAGCUUCACGUAGAAGUUGUGCCGCUUGUAGCUGAUCUUCAGUAUCUUCGGCCACGCGAAUCUGUUUAUGCGCAAUCUGGAACACGAUGGACAGUUCAGAGAGAGUCCACAAUGCUCCGUCCGGCACACGGCCACAUCCGGCCGCAGCGGAGGGAACAAAUAAUAAAAUGACGCGUAGUAAUCCGAAAA
Long non-coding RNA from Danaus plexippus (monarch butterfly), 1087 nucleotides. RefSeq lists it as uncharacterized. The record is from RefSeq and is a predicted model, not a curated record. The transcript is spliced from 2 exons. Lineage: Eukaryota; Metazoa; Arthropoda; Insecta; Lepidoptera; Nymphalidae.